GACGAACGCUGGCGGCGUGCCUAACACAUGCAAGUCGAACGGAAAGGCCCUGCUUUUGUGGGUUUCUCGAGUGCCGAACGGGUGAGUAUCACGUGAGUAUCCUGCCCUUGUCUUUCGGAUAACUUCAGGAAACUGGGGCUCAUACCGGAUAGGAGCUCCUGCUCCGUGGUGGGGUUGGGAAGUUUCGGCGGUUGGUGAUAGAUUGGCGGGUUAUCGGCUUGCUGGGGGGGUUGUGGCUUACCAAGGCUUGGCGGGGUAGCCGGCCUGAGCGGGUGACCGGCGACAUUGGGACUGAGAGACGGCCCAGACUGGUACGGGAGGCAGCAGGGGGAAAGAUUGCACAAGGGGCGGAAGCCGGAUGAAGAAACGCUGCGGGCGGGAAGACGGCCUUCUGGGUGAAAAACGCAUGCGCCUGUGACGAAGCGUGAGUGACGGUAAUGGGUAAAGAAGCACCGGCUAACUACGUG
This 467-nucleotide ribosomal RNA is filed under the name uncultured bacterium. RNAcentral's name for it is "partial 16S ribosomal RNA". It matches the Rfam family "Bacterial small subunit ribosomal RNA", at positions 28 to 507 of the family's 1533-position model. The record is from RNAcentral.